This 497-nucleotide ribosomal RNA is filed under the name uncultured bacterium. RNAcentral's name for it is "partial 16S ribosomal RNA". It matches the Rfam family "Bacterial small subunit ribosomal RNA", at positions 28 to 507 of the family's 1533-position model. The record is from RNAcentral.
GAUGAACGCUGGCGGCGUGCCUAAUACAUGCAAGUCGAGCGAACGGACGAGAAGCUUGCUUCUCUGAUGUUAGCGGCGGACGGGUGAGUAACACGUGGAUAACCUACCUAUAAGACUGGGAUAACUUCGGGAAACCGGAGCUAAUACCGGAUAAUAUUUUGAACCGCAUGGUUCAAAAGUAAAAGACGGUCUUGCUGUCACUUAUAGAUUGAUCCGCGCUGCAUUAGCUAGUUGGUAAGGUAACGGCUUACCAAGGCAACGAUGCAUAGCCGACCUGAGAGGGUGAUCGGCCACACUGGAACUGAGACACGGUCCAGACUCCUACGGGAGGCAGCAGUAGGGAAUCUUCCGCAAUGGGCGAAAGCCUGACGGAGCAACGCCGCGUGAGUGAUGAAGGUCUUCGGAUCGUAAAGCUCUGUUAUUAGGGAAGAACAUCUGUGUAAGUAACUGUGCACAUCUUGACGGUACCUAAUCAGAAAGCCACGGCUAACUACGUG